GUGGCUGUAGCUCAGUUGGUUAGAGCAUCGGCUUGUGGUGCCGAGGGUCGCGGGUUCGAAUCCCGUCAGCCACCCCA
RNAcentral lists this transfer RNA (77 nucleotides) under Opitutia bacterium. RNAcentral describes it as "tRNA-His". It matches the Rfam family "tRNA". From Rfam's summary of the family: Transfer RNA (tRNA) molecules are approximately 80 nucleotides in length. Their secondary structure includes four short double-helical elements and three loops (D, anti-codon, and T loops). Further hydrogen bonds mediate the characteristic L-shaped molecular structure. tRNAs have two regions of fundamental functional importance: the anti-codon, which is responsible for specific mRNA codon recognition, and the 3' end, to which the tRNAs corresponding amino acid is attached (by aminoacyl-tRNA synthetases). tRNAs cope with the degeneracy of the genetic code in two manners: having more than one tRNA (with a specific anti-codon) for a particular amino acid; and 'wobble' base-pairing, i.e. permitting non-standard base-pairing at the 3rd anti-codon position. Lineage: Bacteria; Pseudomonadati; Verrucomicrobiota; Opitutia. RNAcentral also lists the same sequence under 1 other name. The record is from RNAcentral.